RNAcentral lists this ribosomal RNA (470 nucleotides) under uncultured bacterium. RNAcentral describes it as "bacterial SSU rRNA". It matches the Rfam family "Bacterial small subunit ribosomal RNA", at positions 1033 to 1501 of the family's 1533-position model. The record is from RNAcentral.
CACAGUUGCUGCAUGGCUGUCGUCAGCUCGUGUCGUGAGAUGUCGGGUUAAGUCCCUUAACGAGCGAAACCCUUAUCUUUAGUUGCCAGCGUGUAAUGGCGGGGACUCUAGAGAGACUGCCGGUGUUAAACCGGAGGAAGGCGGGGAUGACGUCAAGUCCUCAUGGCCUUUAUGACCAGGGCUGCACACGUCCUACAAUGCGUCAUACAAAGGGAAGCGACCUCGCGAGAGCAAGCAAAUCCCAAAAAGUGGCGCUCAGUUCGGAUUGCAGGCUGCAACUCGCCUGCAUGAAGCCGGAAUCGCUAGUAAUCGUGGGUCAGCAUACCACGGUGAAUAUGUUCCUGAGCCUUGUACACACCGCCCGUCAAGCCACGAAAGUGGGGUGCGCCCGAAGUCGCCGAGCUAACCCGUAAGGGAAGCAAGCGCCGAAGGUGACUCCGCGAUUGGGACUAAGUCGUAACAAGGUAGCC